RNAcentral lists this ribosomal RNA (243 nucleotides) under Triticum aestivum (bread wheat). RNAcentral describes it as "partial small subunit ribosomal RNA". Lineage: Eukaryota; Viridiplantae; Streptophyta; Magnoliopsida; Poales; Poaceae. The record is from RNAcentral.
AUGAGGGUCUCCAGUUGCUCAUACUAUGGUCAAGACUCUCCAGUUUAUGAAAAUAAUUCGAGGAUAGUCUACCAAUUCGAAUUAUCGUUUGCUAUAGUAGAAAUAACAGAACUCAAACUUUCAAGUAGUGGAAACUCAAUCAAAUUUGUAACUGUCUCAAUAGAAUCUUUUCCCCCUUUUUUUUUCUUUCUAAAUGUUCUGUUAAGAUCAUUCCAAGGCUCCUUUUCGCCAUGCAUAAACUAA